This 253-nucleotide ribosomal RNA is filed under the name uncultured bacterium. Its description in RNAcentral is "partial 16S ribosomal RNA". It matches the Rfam family "Bacterial small subunit ribosomal RNA", at positions 524 to 776 of the family's 1533-position model. The record is from RNAcentral.
UACGUAGGGGGCUAGCGUUGUCCGGAAUCAUUGGGCGUAAAGAGCGCGUAGGCGGCCAGAUAAGUCCGGUGUGAAAGUCAAAGGCUCAACCUUUGAAUGCCGCUGGAAACUGUCUGGCUAGAGUCCGGAAGGGGCGAGUGGAAUUCCUGGUGUAGCGGUGAAAUGCGCAGAUAUCAGGAGGAACACCAAUGGCGAAGGCAGCUCGCUGGAACGGUACUGACGCUGAGACGCGAAAGCGUGGGGAGCGAACAGG